This 460-nucleotide ribosomal RNA is filed under the name uncultured bacterium. RNAcentral describes it as "partial 16S ribosomal RNA". It matches the Rfam family "Bacterial small subunit ribosomal RNA", at positions 338 to 795 of the family's 1533-position model. The record is from RNAcentral.
CCUACGGGCGGCAGCAGUGAGGAAUAUUGGUCAAUGGACGAGAGUCUGAACCAGCCAAGUAGCGUGAAGGAUGACUGCCCUAUGGGUUGUAAACUUCUUUUAUAUGGGAAUAAAAUGUUCCACGUGUGGGAUUUUGUAUGUACCAUAUGAAUAAGGAUCGGCCAACUCCGUGCCAGCCGCCGCGGUAAUACGGAGGAUCCGAGCGUUAAUCGGAUUUAUUGGGUUUAAAGGGAGCGUAGGUGGAUAGUUAAGUCAGUUGUUAAAGUUUGCGGCUCAACCGUAAAAUUGCAGUUGAAACUGGCAGUCUUGAGUACAGUAGAGGUAGGCGGAAUGCGUGGUGUAGCGGUGAAAUGCUUAGAUAUCACGAAGAACUCCGAUUGCGAAGGCAGCACACUGGUCUGCAACUGACACUGAGGCUCGAAAGUGUGGGUAUCAAACAGGAUUAGAUACCCCGGUAGUC